AUUGAACGCUGGCGGCAUGCCUUACACAUGCAAGUCGAACGGUAACAGGUCUUCGGAUGCUGACGAGUGGCGCACGGGUGAGUAAUACAUCGGAACGUGCCCGAUCGUGGGGGAUAACGAAGCGAAAGCUUUGCUAAUACCGCAUACGAUCUACGGAUGAAAGCGGGGGAUCUUCGGACCUCGCGCGGACGGAGCGGCCGAUGGCAGAUUAGGUAGUUGGUGGGAUAAAAGCUUACCAAGCCGACGAUCUGUAGCUGGUCUGAGAGGAUGAUCAGCCACACUGGGACUGAGACACGGCCCAGACUCCUACGGGAGGCAGCAGUGGGGAAUUUUGGACAAUGGGCGCAAGCCUGAUCCAGCCAUGCCGCGUGCAGGAUGAAGGCCUUCGGGUUGUAAACUGCUUCUGUACGGAACGAAAAGGUGCCUUCUAAUAAAGGGCGCUCAUGACGGUACCGUAAGAAUAAGCACCGGCUAACUACGUG
Molecule: ribosomal RNA, 482 nt
Filed under: uncultured bacterium
Lineage: Bacteria
Description: partial 16S ribosomal RNA
Rfam family: Bacterial small subunit ribosomal RNA
Source: RNAcentral